Molecule: ribosomal RNA, 253 nt
Filed under: uncultured bacterium
Lineage: Bacteria
Description: partial 16S ribosomal RNA
Rfam family: Bacterial small subunit ribosomal RNA
Source: RNAcentral
UACGUAGGGUGCGAGCGUUAAUCGGAAUUACUGGGCGUAAAGCGUGCGCAGGCGGUUCGUUGUGUCCGUCGUGAAAGCCCCGGGCUUAACCUGGGAACUGCGAUGGAAACUAGCGAGCUGGAGUGUGGCAGAGGGGGGUGGAAUUCCGCGUGUAGCAGUGAAAUGCGUAGAGAUGCGGAGGAACACCGAUGGCGAAGGCAGCCCCCUGGGCUAACACUGACGCUCAGGAACGAAAGCUAGGGGAGCAAACAGG